Molecule: non-coding RNA, 90 nt
Filed under: Paracoccus halophilus
Lineage: Bacteria; Pseudomonadati; Pseudomonadota; Alphaproteobacteria; Rhodobacterales; Paracoccaceae
Description: Glycine sequence
Rfam family: Glycine riboswitch aptamer
About the family: This family represents the bacterial glycine riboswitch. Glycine riboswitches usually consist of two metabolite-binding aptamers domains with similar structures in tandem.
Source: Rfam by way of RNAcentral
GGUCGGAAAUCGGGAGACACUGGCGCAUGCCAGGGCCGAAGGAGCAACCGCCCCGGUAAACUCUCAGGCAAAACGAACCGUUUCCGCUGA